This 1974-nucleotide long non-coding RNA is filed under the name Carica papaya (papaya). Its description in RNAcentral is "long non-coding RNA (CPAP_LNC015809)". Lineage: Eukaryota; Viridiplantae; Streptophyta; Magnoliopsida; Brassicales; Caricaceae. The record is from RNAcentral.
UUAAAAUUAAUUAUUUUAUUUUAUCGUAACAAAAUUAUAUUUAUUUAUUAUUUAAAAAUAUUUCAGAAAAAAACAGAUAAAAAAUGCAGAAAAUCCUACGGGAAUGCCAGCGGGAGGGAUCCUGCUCGUGAAUGCUCUGCGCGCCGCUUCCAUGUGCGCGACCAGCAUAAGAUGUGCGCAUUGUGCGCAUAUCCUGUCUGUGCUGGGUGCGAGGCACGGUUUGCGCAUGCCGUUCGUUCGGUAGGCCUGCACACAGUAGGCUUGUGCGCGCGUAUGCUAGUUCUACAGUGUGCGAUAGGCUGGGGAAGCGUGCACUGCCCCCUUAGGCGCCAUGUGCCGCCUUCGGGCAGCGUGCGCUACCGGUUGGGUGGUGCGUCGCAGUCGCUUGGGCUAUUGCUGUCGUUUGGGUGUCAUACCUCUAGUUUUUGUGCUUUCGUCAUAUCGCGUCGUCCAUCUGUUGAUUAUCACAUCUUACCUUUUCCAUUGAUUUUCUCUCUCUUCACCAGAUUUUAUCACUCAGUGUAUAUUUAACGAUCCCUAUUUUCUAUAAAUAGGGACCCUUACUUCACCAUUUUCUCAUCACUUUCAUUUCAUUCUUUUAUCCACCAAAACGUUUUAGAGAGAGAGGGAGUGAUCUAGAGAGAGAGAGAAGAGAAGAACAAGAAAAAGGAGUAGGAAACACCAAAGUCUCGAAAAGGAAUUUAGUAUUUACUUUUAAAUAUCCUAAUAAGCAUUUCUAGAGUAACAUUAACAAAAUUUAAAUUAAUGAUUGCAUGCUAAGUUUUAUGUUUAAACGAAGAAAUUUUACGUGUUAAUGCAUGUUUUAUGAUCGUAUAUGAACCUAUUAAUUUACAUGUGUAAUUUAAAUGAUUUAAUGCUUGAGAUAGAUAUUGAUAUGUAAUGCAAUUAACGGUGGAAAAAUGAUUAAGCAUUAAAUGAUGUAUAAACAUGAGAAAUAUGUAUUGGUAUUAGCAUGCACAAUUCAUAAAAUGUUUCAUUAGAUUUUUUUAUCUAUGCGAGAUUUCUGUUUCUCCCCCAUCUGGUAUGAAAAUACGUGAGAGGAUCGCUCCCUAUGGAUGAUGGUUUACCCUCUAAUGAAAGUGGUGACACGAUACAAUUGUAGGCAUCACCUUUGGCGAAAUAUGGCCAUGGCUAUAGUUAACAUGUAGGACCACUGUAGUUGGCACAACCAUGGUCAUAAAACAUGCGAUGGUUUGGCAAGCUGUAAAUGUGCUAUUGGUUUGGCAAACUGCAAAUUGCUGUUGUAAACGAAAUGAAUUGGUCAUUUCACAUGGGUAGUCAAAAAUUCAUAUUGCCCUUAGUAGAUGAAAGUCAGAAUGACUUCGUGAGAAGAAUAAAAUAAAAGAUAGUUCAUAUCAUAAUUUAUUUUGAUUUUUUUUAUUUUGAGCAUGAUUGAUUUAAUUGACAUGAUAUGACUAUGACAUGAUGAAUUUGAUGUUUUUCUUUAAUAAAAUAAAAUAUUUUCAUAAUUAAUAAAGAACCUUAACAUGGCUCUUUGAUAGUAAGUAAUGAUGGUAUUUUUAAUUACUUUUGAAAUCUUAUGAUGUUAUUUAAAUACUGUUUUUCUUACUGAGUAUAUAGAACUGGAACUCACCCAUUUCCAUGCCCCCUCAAGAUGAGAAAGAUGGUAAGGAACCGAUUGCUGAUCUACCCCUUGAUGUCUUUGAGGAUCCUGUGGAUCUAUGAACCUUUAUGAGUGCAUAAUUAUUUCGCAUUCUAAUGAGUCCAUUUUUGUAGAGGCUUGUAAUAAAUUUUUUUCUACCUCACAAUUGUAUGGAACUCUAUUUUGUAAAGGAUUAUAAUUAUUUGUUCCAGUGCAUACAUUUAUCUAUUAUGCACUCGUAAUCUGUUUCUGUAUCUGACACCCUUAUGUCUUAAUUUGUAUUUGCGAUGUCACAAAUGUUAUCAGAGCAGUUACAUGGAAUAAUCUCUUACAACUGAGGCUGUAGUUAG